Clostridium paraputrificum is the source of this 175-nucleotide regulatory RNA element. It matches the Rfam family "Lysine riboswitch aptamer". Rfam says of the family: Riboswitches are metabolite binding domains within certain messenger RNAs that serve as precision sensors for their corresponding targets. The record is from Rfam. NCBI's taxonomy places the organism in Bacteria, Bacillati, Bacillota, Clostridia, Eubacteriales, Clostridiaceae.
AGAAGAGGUAGAGGCGCGAUACUUAAUAGUACUGUUGUGGACGUAAGCAGGAUGAAGCAAUAGGAAAGGAAUUAUCGCCGAAGUAUAGAAUUAAAGCUUUAAUAUUCUAAUGCUGGGCUUAUGCAGAAUAUGUAUAAGACUGUCACAAAUGUUUUUGUGGUGAGCUAUCAUUCAG